UUAUUAUUAUUAUUCAUGCUUGUUUUUUGGGAUAUUCGAAUAUUUAAUCUACGUAUGCACUUUCGCGUAAAGCUAAAUAGCGGCUGCAUAGAUAGACUUUACAUUAUCGGUGUUUCUUUUUAAGGUAAGUAGAAAUCCAUUUAUGAACAUUUCCAUUUGUUGAAACGUAAUUUUAGGUGAUGCCUGAUUAUCCGAGGUUUUACCGAUUCAGUCUACAUAUCUGAAUCUGAGUUCUUAUCGCAUAAAGGAAAGAUCAUAGUUAUAUCAGUACAAAGACUCUCGACGGUAUCGAGCAUUAAUCAUCUCAUUCGCAGACGUGUGUUGGGUCAGUACCGAUCAGUGGUAAUUGAAAUUCUACUUGUAAACGAUAAUAGAAUUAAAUCUCGCUAUUAGAGGAGCAAGAUUCUCAGCUACACGCGAGGAGACUGAUCUGUAUCUGCGAAACUGAUAAAACUGCUCUUGUCGAAUUUAUUGCAUGUAAGAAUGGCGAAUAAAGAUUCGAGAGAAACUUGUGGAACAAUGCGAUCUGUGCUUUAUUCAGUCGUGUAAACUGUGAUAAAUAUAUGUAGGAAUAAACCGCAUCAUUGUAUGUAAACGUCGACGAAAUGGCACGUAAUAAAUAUUGAUGGCUGAGA
This is a long non-coding RNA of Bombus terrestris (buff-tailed bumblebee), 635 nucleotides long. RefSeq lists it as uncharacterized. The transcript is spliced from 2 exons. The record is from RefSeq and is a predicted model, not a curated record. Lineage: Eukaryota; Metazoa; Arthropoda; Insecta; Hymenoptera; Apidae.